This 450-nucleotide ribosomal RNA is filed under the name uncultured bacterium. RNAcentral's name for it is "bacterial SSU rRNA". It matches the Rfam family "Bacterial small subunit ribosomal RNA", at positions 354 to 796 of the family's 1533-position model. The record is from RNAcentral.
GUGGGGAAUAUUGGACAAUGGGCGAAAGCCUGAUCCAGCCAUGCCGCGUGUGUGAAGAAGGUCUUCGGAUUGUAAAGCACUUUAAGUUGGGAGGAAGGGCAGUAAGUUAAUACCUUGCUGUUUUGACGUUACCAACAGAAUAAGCACCGGCUAACUCCGUGCCAGCAGCCGCGGUAAUACGGAGGGUGCGAGCGUUGUCCGGAUUUAUUGGGUUUAAAGGGUGCGUAGGCUGGAAGGUCAGUCAGCGGUGAAAAGCUGUCGCUUAACGAUAGUCUUGCCGCAGAUACUUCCUUUCUUGGAUGAGGAGGAGGCCACUGGAACGGAUGGUGUAGCGGUGAAAUGCAUAGAUAUCAUCCAGAACACCGAUUGCGAAGGCAGGUGGCUGUACCUUAAUCGACGCUGAUGCACGAAAGCAUGGGGAGCAAACAGGAUUAGAAACCCUAGUAGUCC